RNAcentral lists this transfer RNA (72 nucleotides) under Amborella trichopoda. It matches the Rfam family "tRNA". Rfam says of the family: Transfer RNA (tRNA) molecules are approximately 80 nucleotides in length. The record is from Rfam by way of RNAcentral. Lineage: Eukaryota; Viridiplantae; Streptophyta; Magnoliopsida; Amborellales; Amborellaceae.
GUCGGGAUAACUCAGCUGGUAGAGCCGAGGACUGAAAAUCCUCAUGUCACCAGUUGAAAUCUGUUCCUAGCA